RNAcentral lists this ribosomal RNA (1554 nucleotides) under Staphylococcus aureus. RNAcentral describes it as "16S ribosomal RNA". It matches the Rfam family "Bacterial small subunit ribosomal RNA". Lineage: Bacteria; Bacillati; Bacillota; Bacilli; Caryophanales; Staphylococcaceae. The record is from RNAcentral.
UUUAUGGAGAGUUUGAUCCUGGCUCAGGAUGAACGCUGGCGGCGUGCCUAAUACAUGCAAGUCGAGCGAACGGACGAGAAGCUUGCUUCUCUGAUGUUAGCGGCGGACGGGUGAGUAACACGUGGAUAACCUACCUAUAAGACUGGGAUAACUUCGGGAAACCGGAGCUAAUACCGGAUAAUAUUUUGAACCGCAUGGUUCAAAAGUAAAAGACGGUCUUGCUGUCACUUAUAGAUGGAUCCGCGCUGCAUUAGCUAGUUGGUAAGGUAACGGCUUACCAAGGCAACGAUGCAUAGCCGACCUGAGAGGGUGAUCGGCCACACUGGAACUGAGACACGGUCCAGACUCCUACGGGAGGCAGCAGUAGGGGAUCUUCCGCAAUGGGCGAAAGCCUGACGGAGCAACGCCGCGUGAGUGAUGAAGGUCUUCGGAUCGUAAAACUCUGUUAUUAGGGAAGAACAUAUGUGUAAGUAACUGUGCACAUCUUGACGGUACCUAAUCAGAAAGCCACGGCUAACUACGUGCCAGCAGCCGCGGUAAUACGUAGGUGGCAAGCGUUAUCCGGAAUUAUUGGGCGUAAAGCGCGCGUAGGCGGUUUUUUAAGUCUGAUGUGAAAGCCCACGGCUCAACCGUGGAGGGUCAUUGGAAACUGGAAAACUUGAGUGCAGAAGAGGAAAGUGGAAUUCCAUGUGUAGCGGUGAAAUGCGCAGAGAUAUGGAGGAACACCAGUGGCGAAGGCGACUUUCUGGUCUGUAACUGACGCUGAUGUGCGAAAGCGUGGGGAUCAAACAGGAUUAGAUACCCUGGUAGUCCACGCCGUAAACGAUGAGUGCUAAGUGUUAGGGGGUUUCCGCCCCUUAGUGCUGCAGCUAACGCAUUAAGCACUCCGCCUGGGGAGUACGACCGCAAGGUUGAAACUCAAAGGAAUUGACGGGGACCCGCACAAGCGGUGGAGCAUGUGGUUUAAUUCGAAGCAACGCGAAGAACCUUACCAAAUCUUGACAUCCUUUGACAACUCUAGAGAUAGAGCCUUCCCCUUCGGGGGACAAAGUGACAGGUGGUGCAUGGUUGUCGUCAGCUCGUGUCGUGAGAUGUUGGGUUAAGUCCCGCAACGAGCGCAACCCUUAAGCUUAGUUGCCAUCAUUAAGUUGGGCACUCUAAGUUGACUGCCGGUGACAAACCGGAGGAAGGUGGGGAUGACGUCAAAUCAUCAUGCCCCUUAUGAUUUGGGCUACACACGUGCUACAAUGGACAAUACAAAGGGCAGCGAAACCGCGAGGUCAAGCAAAUCCCAUAAAGUUGUUCUCAGUUCGGAUUGUAGUCUGCAACUCGACUACAUGAAGCUGGAAUCGCUAGUAAUCGUAGAUCAGCAUGCUACGGUGAAUACGUUCCCGGGUCUUGUACACACCGCCCGUCACACCACGAGAGUUUGUAACACCCGAAGCCGGUGGAGUAACCUUUUAGGAGCUAGCCGUCGAAGGUGGGACAAAUGAUUGGGGUGAAGUCGUAACAAGGUAGCCGUAUCGGAAGGUGCGGCUGGAUCACCUCCUUUCU